AGAGUUUGAUCAUGGCUCAGAACGAACGCUGGCGGCGUGCUUAACACAUGCAAGUCGAACGCGAAAGCCUGGGCAACUGGGCAAGUAGAGUGGCGCACGGGUGAGUAACACGUGGGUAACCUACCUUCGAGUGGGGAAUAACUCCUCGAAAGGGGAGCUAAUACCGCAUAAGACCACGGCCUCUUCGGGGGUCGCGAUCAAAGGUGGCCUCAUUAAGCAGAGUGUUUGGGACGAUCUUCCUGAGUGGAGGAUAGUCCUUAGCGCUUUGUAGAGUGAAGCUGCUGCUCGAAGAGGGGCCCGCGUCCCAUCAGCUAGUUGGUAGGGUAACGGCCUACCAAGGCGACGACGGGUAGCUGGUCUGAGAGGACGACCAGCCACACGGGAAUUGAGAUACGGUCCCGACUCCUACGGGAGGCAGCAGUGGGGAAUCUUGGGCAAUGGGGGAAACCCUGACCCAGCGACGCCGCGUGGGGGAUGAAGGCUUUCGGGUCGUAAACCCCUGUUAGGUGGGACGAACGUCCUCCAGCAAAUAGCUGGGGGAUUUGACGGUACCACCAGAGAAAGCCCCGGCUAACUCCGUGCCAGCAGCCGCGGUAAUACGGAGGGGGCGAGUGUUGUUCGGAAUUACUGGGCGUAAAGGGCGCGCAGGCGGCAUGGCAAGUCGAGUGUGAAAUCCCUUGGCUUAACUGAGGAAUGGCGCUCGAAACUACCUCGCUGGAGGGCGGGAGAGGGAAGUGGAACUCUCGGUGUAGGGGUGAAAUCUGUAGAUAUCGAGAGGAACACCGGUGGCGAAGGCGGCUUCCUGGCCCGUACCUGACGCUGAGGCGCGAAAGCGUGGGGAGCAAACAGGAUUAGAUACCCUGGUAGUCCACGCCCUAAACGAUGGGCACUAGGUGUGGGCGGUAUUAAUCCCGCCUGUGCCGUAGCUAACGCAUUAAGUGCCCCGCC
This 948-nucleotide ribosomal RNA is filed under the name uncultured bacterium. RNAcentral's name for it is "bacterial SSU rRNA". It matches the Rfam family "Bacterial small subunit ribosomal RNA", at positions 9 to 873 of the family's 1533-position model. The record is from RNAcentral.